Molecule: ribosomal RNA, 467 nt
Filed under: uncultured bacterium
Lineage: Bacteria
Description: partial 16S ribosomal RNA
Rfam family: Bacterial small subunit ribosomal RNA
Source: RNAcentral
GACGAACGCUGGCGGCGUGCUUAACACAUGCAAGUCGAACGGAAAGGCCUCAGCUUGCUGGGGUACUCGAGUGGCGAACGGGUGAGUAACACGUGGGUGAUCUGCCUUGCACUCUGGGAUAAGCUUGGGAAACUGGGUCUAAUACCGGAUAUGAACUGCCUUUAGUGUGGUGGUUGGAAAGUUUUUUCGGUGCAAGAUGAGCUCGCGGCCUAUCAGCUUGUUGGUGGGGUAAUGGCCUACCAAGGCGUCGACGGGUAGCCGGCCUGAGAGGGUGUACGGCCACAUUGGGACUGAGAUACGGCCCAGACUCCGACGGGAGGCAGCAGUGGGGAAUAUUGCACAAUGGGCGGAAGCCUGAUGCAGCGACGCCGCGUGGGGGAGGACGGCCUUCGGGUUGUAAACUCCUUUCGACAGGGACGAAGCUUUUUGUGACGGUACCUGUAUAAGAAGCACCGGCUAACUACGUG